RNAcentral lists this long non-coding RNA (1779 nucleotides) under Mus musculus (house mouse). RNAcentral describes it as "predicted gene 43190". Lineage: Eukaryota; Metazoa; Chordata; Mammalia; Rodentia; Muridae. The record is from RNAcentral.
UUUAUUAGGUAUUUAGCUCAUUACAUUUCCAAUGCUAUAACAAAAGUCCCCCAUACCCACCCCAUCCCCACUCCCCUACCCACCCACUUCCCCUUUUUGGCCUUGGUGUUCCCCUGUACUGGGGCAUAUAAAGUUUGCAACUCCAAUGGACCUCUCUUUGCAGUGAUGGCCGACUAGGCCAUCUUUUAAUACAUAUGCAGCUAGAGACAAGAGCUCCAGGGUACUGGUUAGUUCAUAUUGUUGUUCCACCUAUAGGGUUGCAGUUCCCUUUAGUUCCUUGGGUGCUUUCUCUAGCUCCUCCAUUGGGGGCCCUGUGAUCCAUUCAAUAGCUGACUGUGAGCAUCCAUUUCUGUGUUUGCUAGGCCCUGGCAUAGUCUCACAAGAGACAGCUAUAUCAGGGUCCUUUCAGCAAAAUCUUGUUAGUGUAUGCAAUGGUGUCAGCGUUUGGAAGCUGAUUAUGGGAAGGAUCUCUGGUAUUGGCAAUCACUAGAUGGUCCAUCCUUUCGUCACACUUCCAAAUUUUGUCUCUGUAACUCCUUCCAUGGGUGUUUUGUUUCCUAUUCUAAGAAGGAGCAAAGUGUCCACACUUUGGUCUUUGUUCUCUUGAGUUUAAUGUGUUUAGCAAAUUGUAUCUUAUAUCUUGGGUAUCCUAAGUAUCUGGGCUAAUAUCCACUUAUCAGUGAGUACAUAUUGUGAGAGUUCCUUUGUGAUUGGGUUACCUCACUCAGGAUGAUGCCCUCCAGGUCCAUCCAUUUGCCUAGGAAUUUCAUAAAUUCAUUCUUUUUAAUAGCUGAGUAGUACUCCAUUGUGUAAAUGUACCACAUUUUCUGUAUCCAUUCCUCUGUUGAGGGGCAUCUGGGUUCUUUCCAGCUUCUGGCUAUUAUAAAUAAGGCUGCUAUGAACAUAGUGGAGUAUGUGUCCUUCUUACCGGUUGGGACAUCUUCUGGAUAUAUGCCCAGGAGAGGUAUUGCUGGAUCCUCAGGUAGUACUAUGUCUAAUUUUCUGAGGAACCGCCAGACUGAUUUCCAGAGUGGUUGUACAAGCUUGCAAUCCCACCAACAAUGGAGGAGCGCUCCUCUUUCUCCACAUCCUUGCCAACAUCUGCUGUCACCUGAAUAUUUCAUCUUACCCAUUCUGACUGGUGUGAGGUGGAAUCUCAGGGUUGUUUUGAUUUGCAUUUCCCUGAUGAUUAAAGAUGUUAAACAUUUUUUCAGGUGCUUCUCUGCCAUUCGGUAUUCCUCGGGUGAGAAUUCUUUGUUCAGUUGACGUCAGUUUUUAAAACACAUAAGGGAACACCUUUCCAGAAGAAAAAUCUAGAGACAUAUUUUCCAAGGUAAAAAGACAGCUUAGAUUUUGUCAGCUUGACACACAGUAGUCACCUGGAAAGAAGGAACUUCUACUGAGGAAUUGCUCCAUCUGAUUGUCUUCUGUGGGUUAUUUUCUUGGUUAGUGAUGGAUAUGAGAGGGCUGGAAUAGAUAUGACACUGCCCACUUGGUUGUGUCAAGGCUGAGCAAGAGGUCCUGGGUUAUAUUAUGUAAACAACUUAAACGAUCAUGGGAUGCAAGGGAAUAGCAUUGGGACUUCUGCCUUUGUUCCUACAGUGACUUUUCUCAGUGAUGAACUGUAAUUUUGACAUAUGAGCCCUACAAACCCUUCCCUCCUCCAAGUUUCUUUGUUCGUGGUGUUAAGCAGAGCAAUAGAAACUAAAUUGAGACAGUGCCUCAGUGGUAGGGGCCUUGCCUAACAUGUGAAAGAGCCGAGGUUAGUUCUGUAGUAUU